ACUGGGGCGCUACAGUACCUGGAGCUGGGCAGUCUUCUCAUCAGAGUGGGGACUAAUAACAGUGACCUCCCCGCCAGGUCCUGUGUGUUGCCGGCUGAAGAAGGGUAGCUGAAAAAUUCAGACCCAGCACAGUGUUUAUGUUGGUCAAAAAUAGAAAACUAUGUCUGGCGUGGCCGAGGCGGGAGGACCCUUCAGGCCAAGAGCAGCCUAGCAACAUGGCGCAACCCCAUCUCUGUAGUCCUACCUCAGACCCCCAGCUACUUGAACCCAAAGGUUCAAGGCUCCAGUGAGCUAUGAUCCCACCACAGCAUUCCAGCCUGCGAGAUUGAGAUGAUGAUUAUUCCCCACCUUCUGAGAGACAAAGACCAACGAGCCACCACAGCCACCAGUCCCAGAACCCGCCAAUGCUGGGGAACGGAAAAUGAGGGAGUUCAACUCUGGCCCUCACAAUCCAGUGGAGGAGACGAAACUCAUCUGCCUCUGUCCCUCUGGGCACGCUUCAUGCCAGGUGCAUCUGUGGACAGGGGCCAUGCUCCUGGGCUUCCAAAGUUGGAGAAAGCUGCCAGGCUCAGGUCUGAAGGCCAGAAUUCUACAGUAAGUCCUACUGAGUCAAGGUGGGAGCAGGGUCGGUGGCUUCUGAGGCUCUGUGGGAGAAUCUGUUUCCUGGCCGUGGAGGUGGCCUGCACUCCUCAGCUUGUGCUGCCCGUCUCGAAUGACUGGAGUUUCCUGCUUCUGUCACUACACCUCCCACCCUCUCCAUCACCUGCUCUGCUCUUAUAAGGAUCUGGAGAAAUGGAAUAAUCGUAUCGCUGAUCUACGUAAACAAAUUGAAGAAUUGUCUGAAAGAAAGUAUGACAUGAACUUAUGAAUUCAACAGGUGAAGAUUUACAACUUGAUAAAUCAGCUUCGUGAGCUCGAGCUGUAAAAGCCAAAGGUCCGGUGAUGAUCCCAUACCCUUUUUUCCAGUCUCAUGUUGAAGAUUUUUAUGUAGAAGGCCUUCCCAAAGGAAUUUUUUUUUUUUUUUUUUUUUUUUUUGAGAUGGAGUUUUCGCUCUUAUCGCCCAGGCUGGGGUGCAAUGGUGCAACCUUGCUGGUCACUGCAACCUCUGCCUCCUGGGUUCAGGAAAUUCUCCUGCCUUAGCCUCCCAAGUCGCUGGGAUUACAGGUGCCCACCACCACACCAGGCUAAUUUUUGUAUUUUUAGUGGAGAUGGGGUUUCACCAUGUUGGCCAGACCAGUCUUGAACUCCUGACGUCAAGUGAUCUUCCCGCCUCGGCCUCCCAGAGUGCUGAGAUUACAGACAUGAACCCAUGCCUGGCCAGGAAUUUUGUUUUUUAGGAAGGCUUUCUACUAAUGGAAUUCCUGGCCUUGAGAGGAUAUUACUUUCGAAGGAAAGGAUUUUUUUGUUAUUAAAAGAGCCACCUAAGCUGAAGAUUCCCUUGAGAACAAGUACUGUCCUGUGGUUUCAUGGCCUUUCUUCCAUUUGUGGUUCUUGUGAAGUGGAAUUUAAAUGACAUCUUAUCAAGAUGGAUAAACCCUAGUUUCCCAGUGCUGGAAUAUAGAAAAUGGAUGGACAAGUAAAUCCCACUCAUCACCCAUAGUCCAGGCAUGGGGACCUCAACACACCUGAGCCCCAGACAUCACCUUUCAUUCUGGACCUACCAUGAAAGACUUCUGAAUCCAGGAAGAGAGACUGACUGGGCAACAUGUUGUUCAGAAACAGGACCUUGCCCUGUCAUUUAGGAUGGAGUUCAGUGGUCCAAUCAUGGCUCAUUGUAGCCUCAAACUCCCAGGCUCAAGCAAUCCUACCAUGUCAGCCUUCCCAGUAGCUGGGACUACAGGUAAGCAUCGUGACACUCAGUGAAUUUUGUUUUUAUUUUUUUGUAGAGAUGGGGCCUCAGUAUGUUGCCACGGCUGACCUUGAAUUCCUGCACUCAAGGGAUUUUCCUGCCCUGGCCUCCCAAAGUAUUGGUAUUACAGGCAUGAGCUAUUGUGCCCACCGUCUCUGGUUCUUAACCUUCUGCCUCCCUCUUCCAGUUUUAAAGAAUGCUUGUAAUUACAUGGGCUCUCCUAGAUACUCCAGGAUAAUCUUGUUUUAAGGUCAGCUGAUGAGCAACAUUAAUUUUAUCUGCACUCUUAAUUCCCCCUUCCUAUGUAAUUGUGCUGUGUAACAUAGGACAUGAGCAAUUGGUGGCGGCGGUGGGGGUUAUUACUUUGGCCACCACAGUAACUAUUUUAUGCCAGGUACUCAGCUAAGCAUUGGUGAAUUAAGCAUGAAUAACACACACUCCCUAAUCUCCAUCCAUUCAUGGGAGGAGCACCUCACCUGCCAUGCUCCUGAGAAUCUCGGCAGUCAAAGAAGUCUUCUAUGAGGAGGUGAUGCCAAAGCGGACAAGUGACAGAGGAGUCGAAGCUAGCUAGGAAGAGAGUAGAGGUUUAAGGGGAAGCAUAUUAUAAGCAGAGGAUAUCACCCACUUCAGAGACUCCCAGAGGAGAAGGAGUGGGCGUUCAAGGGGCAGAUGAAGCUCAGUUGGACUCCAUAGCAGAUGAAAUGGAGAGGGGCAAGCAGUGAGGCUGCCUUGCAAGGCAGGGCAGAGCAGGGGCUGUUAAGGAGUUUGGACUUAAUCCCUGAGGCAAGGAGAAGUGAUGUAAAUGGGGGAGUAACAUGAUGAGAUUCAUGGAUUAGAGACAUGGCUCAGGCUGCUGUAGAGAAGGCACCAGGGAGAGCAGAUGGCUCAAUGGGUGUGCAGGAUACCUCUCACUGAGUUUAGGGAAAGGUUUUUAAAACAGAAGAAGUUUGAGUAAUUUAAAUUAUGAUGGGAAGGAGCUAAAAGUGGGGGAUAGGUUAAAGAUACAGGAAAGUGGGAGGAAGAACUGACAAGUGAGGUUCCAGAGAGGGCAGGAGAAGAGGAGAUUCCCAUAGGGGGAUUAACACUUUCUUUUCUUUUUUCUUUCUAAGACAGGGUCUCACUCUGUCGCCCAGGCUGGAGUGCAGUGACACAAUCUUGGCUCACUGUAGUGUAGACUUCCCAGGCUCAAGGGAUUCUCCCACCCCAGACUCCCAAGUAGCUGGAACUACGGGUGUGCACCACCACCACACCUGGCUAAUGUUUCUUUUUUUGGUAGACACAGAGUCUCACUAUUUAGCGCUGAUUGGUCUCCAACUCCUGGCCUCAAGCGAUCCUCCUGCCUAGGCUUCCCAAAUUGCUGGGAUUACAGGCAUGAGCCACAAUGCCUGGCCUCUGCUAGUUCCAUAUUCUCUAGAGUUGUCUUUACUUUCUGCUAGUGUGUCCCUCAUUGUGCUGAUCCUCUGUAAAAAUUAAUACCUUUUUUUUUUUUUCGAGAUGGAGUUUCACUCUUGUUGCCCAGGCUGGAGUGCAAUGGCGCUAUGUCGGCUCAGCGCAACCUCCACCUGCCGGGUUCAAGCCUCCCGAGUAGUUGGGAUUACAGGCAUGUGCCACCAUGCCCAGCUAAUUUUGUAUUUUUAGUAGAGAUGGGGUUUCUCCAUGCUGGUCAGGCUGGUCUCCAACUCCCGACCUCAGGUGAUCUGUCUGCCUUGGCCUCCCAAAGUGCUGGGAUUACAGGCAUGAGCCAUUGUGCCUGGCCGAAAUUAAUACUUUUUAUAUUAAAUUUACAUAUAUAUACGUUUUUUCUUUUUGAUACCGGGUCUCACACUGUCACCCAGGCUGGAGUACAGUGGCACAACCUCUGCUCACUGCAGCCUCCACCUGCCAGGCUCAAGCAAUUCUCCUGCCUCAGCCUCCUGAGUAGCUGGGAUUAUAGGUAAGUGCCACCACACCCAGCUGAUUUUUGUGUUUUUUGUAGAGACGAGGUUUUGCCAUGUUUCCCAGACUGUUCUCAAACUCCUGAGCUCAAAGCAGUCCACCCAUCUUGUCCUCCCAGAGUGCUGGGAUUACAGGUGUGAGCCACCUUGCUCAUUCUAGUUUAAACUGUUGAGUGGUUUGUGUCUCCUGAUUGGACUCCUACAAAUACAGAAUUGAUGCUAGGAAGGGUACCAGGAGAUAGACGCAUACAGAUGGGAUUUGGGAAUAGGUUUGGUUAUCCAAGGAGCAGUGCUGAGCUCCUUGCUAAUGGGGUAUGGGAUGCUGGUGAUUUCCAGGAAGUGAGCUCACAAUGACUCAAGCUACCACAUAGUGUUGAUUGUGAAAUGCCAGUUGAAGCAUAUGUCCUGCGAGCUUAGGGGUGCUACAAGUUGACCACUGCAGCAGUAAAGAUGACUCUGAAGAAUGGCAUGGGAUGGAUCCUUUCGAAUGCACUUGAGCAGCGGUCUCCAACCACAGGGCCACAGAGCUGGAGCUGGAUCUACCAUGAAAGACUUCUGAAUCCAGGAAGAGAGACUGACUGGGCAACAUGUUAUUCAGGAGAUGGGGUCUCACCCUGUCACCCAGGCUUGAGUACAGUA
Molecule: RNA transcript, 4422 nt
Organism: Homo sapiens (human)
Lineage: Eukaryota; Metazoa; Chordata; Mammalia; Primates; Hominidae
Gene: GTF2IP13
Gene name: general transcription factor IIi pseudogene 13
Exons: 12
Source: RefSeq, a predicted model, not a curated record